Molecule: long non-coding RNA, 404 nt
Organism: Drosophila ananassae
Lineage: Eukaryota; Metazoa; Arthropoda; Insecta; Diptera; Drosophilidae
Exons: 2
Source: RefSeq, a predicted model, not a curated record
ACAAAUUCUAGCUCCCAUAUUCAACAAAAAAAACCUUAAUGAGUAUCCUUUUUUAUAUAGAAAACCGAAAAAAAAAUAGAGGAUCCUUGCCUGGGACCUUGGGACGUUCUUCAAUUAAAUAUGCAAAUUGUCCCGAUGAUGCUGCAGAAAUGUCAACAAGAAGCGGUUCUCGGGUGAUAUAUAUUUCCAAGUGGGACACUUGAAGUUUCGCUUAAUUAACUAAUUGCCCGUGCAGCGGAAAUUCGGGGGAAAAUUUAGGGAAAUCGAAGGAAUCCAGGGAAAUCAAGGACAUCAAGGAAAUCAAGAAGAAACUGUAAAUGAGUCUCCAGUUUUUAAAGGCAGCUGCUGGGUUAUAUUCUUCUUUUAAAAGUUUGUUAAAAAAUUCAAAUAAAUAUUGAAUAAUA